AUUGACCGCUGGCGGCAGGCCUAACACAUGCAAGUCGAACGAGUGGCGGACGGGUGAGUAAUGUCUGGGAAACUGCCUGAUGGAGGGGGCUAACUACUGGAAACGGUAGCUAAUACCGCAUACCAUCAGAUGUGCCCAGAUGGGAUUAGCGUGUUGGUGGGGUAACGGCUCACCAAGGCGACGAUCCCUAGCUGGUCUGAGAGGAUGACCAGCCACACGGGAACGUAGACACGGGCCAGAUUCCUACGGGAGGCAGCAGUGGGGAAGAGUGCACAAUGGGCGCAAGCCUGAUGCAGCCAUGCCGCGUGUAUGAAGAAGGCCUUCGGGUGGUAAAGUACUUUCAGCGGGGAGGCGUUACCCGCAUAAGAAGCAACGGCUAACUCCGUGCCAGCCGCCGCGGUAAUAC
Molecule: ribosomal RNA, 406 nt
Filed under: uncultured bacterium
Lineage: Bacteria
Description: partial 16S ribosomal RNA
Rfam family: Bacterial small subunit ribosomal RNA
Source: RNAcentral